UUUAUCACCGAAUUCCUUUGAUAAAGGAUACGGGGGAACCAUUAAAUAGGGGUGAAUCCUAUAAUGUUAAUAGGUAGGGCUAAUCCUUUCGGUCCGAAUCCGUCAGCUAACCCCGGAGGUGUUGAAAGGAGUA
RNAcentral lists this small RNA (133 nucleotides) under marine eukaryotic metagenome. Its description in RNAcentral is "ydaO/yuaA leader". It matches the Rfam family "c-di-AMP riboswitch aptamer (ydaO/yuaA leader)". From Rfam's summary of the family: This family represents a conserved RNA structure found upstream of the ydaO and yuaA genes in Bacillus subtilis and related genes in other bacteria. The ydaO/yuaA element is thought to act as a genetic "off" switch for the ydaO and yuaA genes in its native state. The record is from RNAcentral.